Molecule: transfer RNA, 62 nt
Filed under: Perkinsus marinus ATCC 50983
Lineage: Eukaryota; Perkinsozoa; Perkinsida; Perkinsidae
Rfam family: tRNA
About the family: Transfer RNA (tRNA) molecules are approximately 80 nucleotides in length.
Source: Rfam by way of RNAcentral
GCUUAGUGGCAGAGCGUCUGCUUUGUAGCAGAUGGUCGUCAGUUCAAUCCUGGCAAGUGGCU